AUGACUUGCCUUUCUCAGCUUCUGGGGAUGCUUAUGCUAUAGAGUCUUAGAGACACUGGUGAUGACACAGGCUGCAUUCUCCAUACCUGUCACUUCUACAGUGUCAGCUUCCAUCUCCUUCAGGUCUUGUAAAGAUCUGUUACACAGUGAUGCCAAUCCUUAUUUGCAAUGG
Mus musculus (house mouse) is the source of this 172-nucleotide non-coding RNA. The record is from the annotation of a RefSeq genome assembly. Lineage: Eukaryota; Metazoa; Chordata; Mammalia; Rodentia; Muridae.